UGGGGAAUAUUGGGCAAUGGGCGCAAGCCUGACCCAGCAAUGCCGCGUGAAGGAAGAAGGCCCUCGGGUUGUAAACUUCUUUUAUCAGGGACGAAGGAUGUGACGGUACCUGAUGAAUAAGCUCCGGCUAACUACGUGCCAGCAGCCGCGGUAAUACGUAGGGAGCAAGCGUUAUCCGGAUUUACUGGGUGUAAGGGGCGCGUAGGCGGGAUGGCAAGUCAGAUGUGAAAUCCAAGGGCUCAACCCUUGAACUGCAUUUGAAACUGUCGUUCUUGGGUACUGGAGAGGUUGACGGAAUUCCUAGUGUAGCGGUGAAAUGCGUAGAUAUUAGGAGGAACACCAGUGGCGAAGGCGGUCAACUGGACAGCAACUGACGCUGAGGCGCGAAAGCGUGGGGAGCAAACAGGAUUAGAUACC
Molecule: ribosomal RNA, 417 nt
Filed under: uncultured bacterium
Lineage: Bacteria
Description: bacterial SSU rRNA
Rfam family: Bacterial small subunit ribosomal RNA
Source: RNAcentral